GCUUAAAUAGCUUAUAUAAGAGCGUAGUAUUGAAGAUACUAAGGAAAAUUAGAUUUUUUAAGUA
This 64-nucleotide transfer RNA is filed under the name Cryptocephalus moraei. Its description in RNAcentral is "tRNA-Phe". The record is from RNAcentral. Lineage: Eukaryota; Metazoa; Arthropoda; Insecta; Coleoptera; Chrysomelidae.